GUUACGCAGUUUGCCAUGAAAACUGUCAAAUUACUCAAUAUUUGUACAUCUUCAGAUUAGGUUUCUUUUCUGAUACCCAUAAGAAAAAUAUGAUUAUGGAUUUGGGCUUAGAUGGCUGUUCAAUCUCAGUAUUUAGUUAAAAUGCACAACAGGUUUUCCUUUAAUAUUCCUCUAUAAGGGAUUUAAAAUCCAGAACAUGAAUUGGAGUUCAAAGUUUCUUUAAAGGUCAAUUUGUAGAUCAAUGCUUCAAUUCUUUUCUAAAGGCUUAGCAAACAGAUGCAGUGGGCUGUUCUAUUAAAAAUAGCAAUAAAUCUCUAAAAAUUAGAAAGAGUGAAAUUAGAUGAGGAUUAAUUUCACCAUUUUCUCUUUUAUUUUGUUCUUGUUAAAUGCGUGUCGGGAGAGGAAUCUUUUCUUGUACCAAAUAUUUUUGGUGCUUAACUAUAACCCCCAGCUGAUUAAAUAUCAGCCUAUGUUCCACAAAAUUAGCAUGUGGACAAAAUAAAUGUUUGUUAGUGGAAAAAUACUUUUUAAAAUAUCUGACUAUUUUCCCACUGAAUGUAUGCUUUAAUUACAAGUAUUAAAAAUUAAUGGGCCAC
Cryptomeria japonica (Japanese cedar) is the source of this 596-nucleotide long non-coding RNA. RefSeq lists it as uncharacterized. NCBI's taxonomy places the organism in Eukaryota, Viridiplantae, Streptophyta, Pinopsida, Cupressales, Cupressaceae. The record is from RefSeq and is a predicted model, not a curated record. The transcript has 3 exons.